UACGGAGGUGGCAAGCGUUGUUCGGAAUUACUGGGCGUAAAGGGCGCGUAGGCGGCCUUCUAAGUCAGACGUGAAAUCCCCCGGCUUAACCUGGGAACUGCGUCUGAUACUGGAGGGCUUGAGUGCGGGAGAGGGAUGUGGAAUUCCAGGUGUAGCGGUGAAAUGCGUAGAUAUCUGGAGGAACACCGGUGGCGAAGGCGGCAUCCUGGACCGACACUGACGCUGAGGCGCGAAAGCUAGGGUAGCAAACGGG
Molecule: ribosomal RNA, 253 nt
Filed under: uncultured bacterium
Lineage: Bacteria
Description: partial 16S ribosomal RNA
Rfam family: Bacterial small subunit ribosomal RNA
Source: RNAcentral